AUGAACGCUGGCGGCGUGCCUAAUACAUGCAAGUCGAGCGAACAGAUGAGGAGCUUGCUCCUCUGACGUUAGCGGCGGACGGGUGAGUAACACGUGGAUAACCUACCUAUAAGACUGGGAUAACUUCGGGAAACCGGAGCUAAUACCGGAUAAUAUAUUGAACCGCAUGGUUCAAUAGUGAAAGACGGUUUUGCUGUCACUUAUAGAUGGAUCCGCGCCGCAUUAGCUAGUUGGUAAGGUAACGGCUUACCAAGGCAACGAUGCGUAGCCGACCUGAGAGGGUGAUAGGCCACACUGGAACUGAGACACGGUCCAGACUCCUACGGGAGGCAGCAGUAGGGAAUCUUCCGCAAUGGGCGAAAGCCUGACGGAGCAACGCCGCGUGAGUGAUGAAGGUCUUCGGAUCGUAAAACUCUGUUAUUAGGGAAGAACAAAUGUGUAAGUAACUAUGCACGUCUUGACGGUACCUAAUCAGAAAGCCACGGCUAACUACGUG
Molecule: ribosomal RNA, 496 nt
Filed under: uncultured bacterium
Lineage: Bacteria
Description: partial 16S ribosomal RNA
Rfam family: Bacterial small subunit ribosomal RNA
Source: RNAcentral